This 64-nucleotide transfer RNA is filed under the name Cryptocercus relictus (relict cockroach). Its description in RNAcentral is "tRNA-Gly". The record is from RNAcentral. Lineage: Eukaryota; Metazoa; Arthropoda; Insecta; Blattodea; Cryptocercidae.
AUUUAUCUAAUAUAAAAAGUAUAUUUGACUUCCAAUCAAAAAGUUUAAUUAAACAAGAUAAAUA